Molecule: ribosomal RNA, 206 nt
Filed under: uncultured bacterium
Lineage: Bacteria
Description: partial 16S ribosomal RNA
Rfam family: Bacterial small subunit ribosomal RNA
Source: RNAcentral
CACGUAGGCGGAUCGAUCAGUCAGGGGUGAAAUCCCAGAGCUCAACUCUGGAACUGCCUUUGAUACUGUCGAUCUGGAGUAUGGAAGAGGUGAGUGGAAUUCCGAGUGUAGAGGUGAAAUUCGUAGAUAUUCGGAGGAACACCAGUGGCGAAGGCGGCUCACUGGUCCAUUACUGACGCUGAGGUGCGAAAGCGUGGGAGCAAACA